AAGGCGGGACGAUCUAUCGCUGCCUUGAUUUGAAGCAAGGCAGAGGAAAGUCCGGACAGGAUAGGGCACCGUACUGUGGAAAGCACAGGUAGACGAAAGUUUACGUACAGCGCAGAAGAAAACGACCGCCAUGCCCAUGCGGCACGGUAAGGGUGAGAAUGCAGGGGUAAGAGCCUGCAGCCCUAUAUGGCGACAUAUAUGGCGUGCGCACUACGGCCUGCAAUGCCAAGUAUACUGACAGUCAAGGGCUGCCCGCCCGUUGUCAGGGGGUAGGCAGCGUAGAUAAAUGAUAGAUUUAAAAACAGAACCCGGCUUACGGCCCCGCCUUUUAU
This 332-nucleotide RNase P RNA is filed under the name Candidatus Merdivivens pullistercoris. RNAcentral describes it as "RNase P RNA component class A". It matches the Rfam family "Bacterial RNase P class A". Rfam says of the family: Ribonuclease P (RNase P) is a ubiquitous endoribonuclease, found in archaea, bacteria and eukarya as well as chloroplasts and mitochondria. Its best characterised activity is the generation of mature 5'-ends of tRNAs by cleaving the 5'-leader elements of precursor-tRNAs. Lineage: Bacteria; Pseudomonadati; Bacteroidota; Bacteroidia; Bacteroidales; Muribaculaceae. The record is from RNAcentral.